GACGAACGCUGGCGGCGUGCUUAACACAUGCAAGUCGAACGCUGAAGCUUGGUGCUUGCACUGGGUGGCUGAGUGGCGCACGGGUGAGUAAUACGUGAGUAACCUGCCCUUGACUCUGGGAUAAGCCUGGGAAACUGGGUCUAAUACUGGAUACGACAUGCCACUGCAUGGUGGUGUGUGGAAAGGGUUUUACUGGUUUUGGAUGGGCUCACGGCCUAUCAGCUUGUUGGUGGGGUAAUGGCCUACCAAGGCGACGACGGGUAGCCGGCCUGAGAGGGUGACCGGCCACACUGGGACUGAGACACGGCCCAGACUCCUACGGGAGGCAGCAGUGGGGAAUAUUGCACAAUGGGCGGAAGCCUGAUGCAGCGACGCCGCGUGAGGGAUGACGGCCUUCGGGUUGUAAACCUCUUUCAGCACGGAAGAAGCGAGAGUGACGGUACGUGCAGAAGAAGCGCCGGCUAACUACGUG
RNAcentral lists this ribosomal RNA (472 nucleotides) under uncultured bacterium. RNAcentral's name for it is "partial 16S ribosomal RNA". It matches the Rfam family "Bacterial small subunit ribosomal RNA", at positions 28 to 507 of the family's 1533-position model. The record is from RNAcentral.